AUACGGAGGGUGCAAGCGUUGUUCGGAAUUAUUGGGCGUAAAGCGCGUGCAGGCGGUAAGGUAAGUCAGAUGUGAAAGCCCCGGGCUCAACCCGGGAAGUGCAUUUGAUACUGCCUUUCUUGAGUAUGGGAGAGGAGAGUGGAAUUCCCAGUGUAGAGGUGAAAUUCGUAGAUAUUGGGAGGAACACCCGUGGCGAAGGCGACUCUCUGGACCAAUACUGACGCUGAGACGCGAAAGCGUGGGGAGCGAACAGGAUUAGAAACCCCGGUAGUCC
This 274-nucleotide ribosomal RNA is filed under the name uncultured bacterium. RNAcentral describes it as "partial 16S ribosomal RNA". It matches the Rfam family "Bacterial small subunit ribosomal RNA", at positions 523 to 796 of the family's 1533-position model. The record is from RNAcentral.